CCUACGGGCGGCAGCAGUGGGGAAUAUUGGACAAUGGGGGGAACCCUGAUCCAGCCAUGCCGCGUGUGUGAAGAAGGCCCUCGGGUUGUAAAGCACUUUCAGUGAGGAAGAACGCCUGGUGGUUAAUACCCAUCAGGAAAGACAUCACUCACAGAAGAAGCACCGGCUAACUCCGUGCCAGCAGCCGCGGUAAUACGGAGGGUGCGAGCGUUAAUCGGAAUUACUGGGCGUAAAGCGCGCGUAGGUGGCUUGAUAAGCCGGUUGUGAAAGCCCCGGGCUCAACCUGGGAACGGCAUCCGGAACUGUCAAGCUAGAGUGCAGGAGAGGAAGGUAGAAUUCCCGGUGUAGCGGUGAAAUGCGUAGAGAUAGGGAGGAAUACCAGUGGCGAAGGCGGCCUUCUGGACUGAAACUGACACUGAGGUGCGAAAGCGUGGGUAGCAAACAGGAUUAGAUACCCCAGUAGUC
RNAcentral lists this ribosomal RNA (465 nucleotides) under Vreelandella stevensii. RNAcentral describes it as "partial 16S ribosomal RNA". It matches the Rfam family "Bacterial small subunit ribosomal RNA", at positions 338 to 795 of the family's 1533-position model. The record is from RNAcentral. Lineage: Bacteria; Pseudomonadati; Pseudomonadota; Gammaproteobacteria; Oceanospirillales; Halomonadaceae.